AUGAACUAUGAAAAACCGGGGGUAGAGGAGAUCUUUUAUAAUAGCGAUUAUAUGUUUAGACACUUUAUUGGAAAUAAUCUAAUUUUCCAUGAGAAUCUUAAGAAGGAAAUUCCCUUUUUAGAUAUAAUCGAACAAGUUUUCAAUGAUGUUAAUCAACACUAUUAUUGGAUUAUUGCCGGAAAUCAAAGGGGAUAUGAUGAUAAACAACUUGAUAGUGCUAAAGUCUCCAUGGAUAAGGUGUUUUAUAUUGUUUUUGCAAAACCUCCUAAGAAAAACACCUCCAAAGGAAAUGAAACUAAAGAUGACAAUACUUAG
Molecule: ribosomal RNA, 315 nt
Filed under: Triticum aestivum (bread wheat)
Lineage: Eukaryota; Viridiplantae; Streptophyta; Magnoliopsida; Poales; Poaceae
Description: partial small subunit ribosomal RNA
Source: RNAcentral